CUGUGCUCUGCCUUGCUGCGCAGCCCCGGCGUCUGCUCUCUCCCUCGGCCUCGUCAGCGCGUCAGUCGUGUUGUUGUGGCCGCCAUUGCAGUCAUGGAGGUUUUUCCGACAGCUGCGCCAUCCGCCUGGCAACAGCUCUGAUGCUUUAAUGAAAAUCUGGAAAAUAGGACAAAGCAAGAGAAAACAAAAGGAAAACCUCCUGAAGUUCCAUUAUCCAAACUGAAUCAACAUUAACAGAUUGGCUUAUUUUGGCUUAUUUCCAUAUGAAAUAUUACAUUUUCCUGUACUCAGGCAGGCACCAAAAGAGAUGGCAAGGUAACAGGAAGAUGACUUGGGUUGAGUGUGCUUUUGUCCACAUGAGAACUCAGACUGUGGCAAGACCAGAACAGGAACAUCAGGUUAAUGCAUAAUUCCUGAAUGAUGAAGGCACAAAUGAUGCACUGAAAUGGAAAAUUCAGCUCCUGAUUCUCUGUCCAGAGAAACAUUCCUGCAAGCUCACCUCGGAGAUUUUCAUGGCAGCCAACAGAGAGAGUGGCCGAGGAAGAGAAAAAUGACGAGGCUUACCCGGCUCACAAGGCAAAUGACAUCUAUUUUGUGCUUAUUUUGCAUCAUCACCGAACUUUGUUUCUUAAAACAGGACAGUCUCCAUCAGAUCUGAAAAUUAGAAAAGUGAAAAUAUUUUUCAAAAAAUUCCUAAAAUCGCUAUGUUAUACUACCGGUGUGCAGUGCGGUUCUCCCACUCCCGUUCUUCCUAUAACGCCGUGCUCUUGUCUGUUUUUAGUCAAGUGGGGGUAAUCCACCUGUCUCCUGUCUGGUCUAUUAGAAAAUUCACUGGAAGUGAGUGAGUGACAACUUAAAAAUUUCAGUUAAAAAAUCUAUUGACUGUCUAUUACCUUAUCUCGGAGCCAUGAAUAUUAGUGGAGGAGCAAUGUAAUACAGUCCCCACUCUCACGUGGCUGAUGCACUGAGAAGUUCUGGAAGCAGGCAUAGAAGCAAUUCUAAGUCAGUACUACCAGUUUUAUGAUGGCAGGAAUAGAGGGUGCAGGGGAAACACGGGACUUUUACCCAAAUAUAGAAGGGUCACGGUCUUUGUCUUUAAAAUUUUCCUUUGCAUUAUUGUUUAAUUUUAAAAUUAUACAACUUUUUAAAGUCUAAAUUUAAAAACUUCAAAAUUAGAGAAUGGGAUGAUUAUUGGUAAUGUUCUGUGAUCUCAUUUUUUUCUUUUGUCUUUUUGCUUGACCUACAAAUCCUUCUCUCUGUAUCUUUUUCUCUCAUAUUAUAACCAAGUUAUAUUUGCAAACUAGAAUGCAUCUUUAUUUUUCUCCAUUCUCAGAUUAAUUAUAUACAAACUUAUAUUUAUGCACAUGUAGGGAAUUUUGGUCAUUAGGUUAUAUAGAGAUAGAUUAUAGGGUCCUAGGAUCUGAUCUUAGAAUUUGAACUAGGAAGUUUGUUCUUAGGCCAUCUGGUGUGGAAUAAUCUCUGGUAACUUUUACUUCAUUCAUUCUAACAGAAUAAAUAAAGGCGUGCUCAACCUAGCUUUAAUCAUGGCUAAAACUGGUAAGUAAAAAGAGGAGCUAAUUUUCCCCCCGGUCUACAUAUUGCCUUAUUGCUAGUUGGACUGAUAUUUUGUUGUUCAGAAUCAGGCUGAAUUUGCUGACUGUAUUAACAUCCUCUAGGAAUUGUCUAAAUAAGUGGUUCUGAUACUCUUGCACACUGGUAGGGAAUAAACCCCAAAUUUAGCUGGGCUGUAUCCUACCCCUUAAAGAGAUGACAAUGGAGCUUCCUGCUUGGGAUUAAUGAUGUUCAGAUUCGGUGGUGUCUUAUCAGUGCUUUGCUGUUCUUCAUAUUGAUUCCAGCAGUAACUCCUAAUCUUACUAGAGAGUGAACAGCUUUCCUGUCCACUCCUUUAGCACCACUCAGAGAGAGAAAAGCAAGCUCGAGUGACAGUCCAUCCCUGUCACUUCAGGACAGCUGUCAGUACUGUGCAGAGCUUUACAGAGCUCAAACUUCCAAGUACUGUUUACAAAUUGGGCCACCCAUUUCAUGGUGCCUGGUGGUUAGUUAUGCAGCUAACCAACCCAGGGAGAUCUUGAGAAGGUUCAUAGAAAAUUCAUUUUUAUUCACAGCCUACUGGUACCCCUACCAGCAGUAAGAAUUUGUGAUUGAAUGCUGAUUGUUGGAGUACCUUACCUGCCAACUUCAUCCAGUGAGUUCUGCACAAAUGGUUCUCAGGGGGCAACACGAGCUGUGCAGGAGUUUGGGUGUGUGGGUUAGUGAAGUGGGGAGGAGGCUAGCAGGGAGACAGGGGAUGUAGAGAAGGCAGGGAGGAAGAGAAGGGAUAGGAUGAGGCCCUCCUAGAAUAUUGGCUUCCAUUGGAGAAGAGAGACAGUCUCUCUCUGGAUCCUGUAAUCGUGGGGAUGGGAAGAGUCCCCAGUUUGGCUCUGAAAAUGACCUGAGUGAAGUGUGGAGACCGAAAGCACAACCAAUGGGAUGGCCAGAGGAUGCUGUGAGACCCAAGGGGGAUGGUCUGGUAAGUGGGGGUGAAACUCAGUUAUUAGAGCAAAGAGUUACUUC
Manis pentadactyla (Chinese pangolin) is the source of this 2574-nucleotide long non-coding RNA. RefSeq lists it as uncharacterized. The transcript is spliced from 4 exons. NCBI's taxonomy places the organism in Eukaryota, Metazoa, Chordata, Mammalia, Pholidota, Manidae. The record is from RefSeq and is a predicted model, not a curated record.